Molecule: non-coding RNA, 317 nt
Organism: Camelina sativa (false flax)
Lineage: Eukaryota; Viridiplantae; Streptophyta; Magnoliopsida; Brassicales; Brassicaceae
Source: RefSeq, a predicted model, not a curated record
UUCAUCUUCAGCUUCUUCCUCCUUUUGGUUUCUGCUGGAGACAUAGUUCACCACGACGAUUCCCUCCCGCAGAGACCUGGUUGCAACAAUAAUUUCGUACUGGUGAAAGUCCCAACUCGAGUGAAUGGGACGGAAUACAUGGAGUAUGUUGGUGUAGGUGCUAGGUUUGGCCCAACCUUUGGAAUCUAAGGAGAAACAUGCUACCCUCAUCAAACUUGCUAUUGCUGACCCUCCUGACUGUUGCAGCACUCCCAAAAAUAAGCUUACAGGAGAGGUCAUUCUUGUUCACCGUGGUAAAUGCAGUUUUACCACCAAAA